RNAcentral lists this long non-coding RNA (441 nucleotides) under Coturnix japonica (Japanese quail). RNAcentral describes it as "lncRNA (ENSCJPG00005003396.1)". The record is from RNAcentral. Lineage: Eukaryota; Metazoa; Chordata; Aves; Galliformes; Phasianidae.
UUCUAUUUAGUCCAUAGAUGACAUUUAUGGACUGAGUAGAAAUGAUGUUCUCUCUUUGUUAAUUCUGCAGAAAAAAACACAGAAUUAAGGUUCAGCAACAGAAAGGAGUUCAUCAGCCUGUCUUUCAGAAGGUUAACAGGGAAAUGCAACAGAAAUACAGAUGAUUUCAGCUUACGGUCAAAGUUACUGCACUGUAAGAGAGUUAAGCAGGAAAGAAUGUGAUGAGGACAUAAAAGAAUAAGACAUAAUUGCGAAUACCAAGCAGCUGAACUUUGGGCCCUCUUUGCAGCCCAUGUUUCAGGGCUAGAGCCCUGCUCCAUGGAGGGUUGACCGUGAACAACCAGGCAGUCUGCUGCUGUUUCUGGGAGUGGAUUUCACCCUCUUUGUCAGUGCUUUAUGAUGUCUUUCACUAGCUAGAUGAAAUAAAAGGCUAGCUGUACU